This 103-nucleotide non-coding RNA is filed under the name Bacillus sp. (in: firmicutes). Its description in RNAcentral is "Bacillus sp. SAM-I sequence". It matches the Rfam family "SAM riboswitch aptamer (S box leader)". From Rfam's summary of the family: The SAM riboswitch is found upstream of a number of genes which code for proteins involved in methionine or cysteine biosynthesis in Gram-positive bacteria. The SAM riboswitch acts at the level of transcription termination control. Lineage: Bacteria; Bacillati; Bacillota; Bacilli; Caryophanales; Bacillaceae. RNAcentral also lists the same sequence under 1 other name. The record is from RNAcentral.
CGCUUAUCUAGAGCGGCUGAGGGACCGGCCCGAUGAAGCCCGGCAACCUACAUUCGUAAGGUGCCAAUUCCUGCAAAAUGGAAUCCAUUUUGAAAGAUAAGGU